AUGGUGGCGCGAUGUAUCCUGGGAGCUGUAGUCCACGGCACGCUCACCGCUAGUCGGAAGUUUGAGGGGAGCGGAUGGGGAAGCCACAGUGCCCGGCGUGCACCGCGGUGGCCGCUCACCCGGCGAGGUCUCUGCAGCGCCCAGCGCGUUGCUAGGAGCUGCCUCAAAGUCGCUCUGGGUUACACAGGUUGCACACAGCAGGGUGGGAGCGUAGAGUUCCUUCUGCGCCCUUCUGAGGCAAUUCGUGGCGGGAUCGGGGAGCUGAGAAAUGUGUUAAUAUUGGAAGCUUGGCGCUUUCCAGACUGCUUGGAUUACAAGUGUGCACCAUCAUUGCUGGCAGAAUGAACAACCAGCCUCCAGGGAAGAGGACCCAGGGACAUCUCACAAGUCUGGAGCUUCCCUGACCUUCAUUGAGUUUUUCCCUGAGAGCCUCCACCCCACUUGGAACAGGAUAGGUAAAAGCAAAUGGUCAGUAGUAUCGGGUUAAUAAUAUCCCUUAGUUAUUUCAGGCUGAUCAGGUCCGCAGUCUCCCGAAUGAGUGUAGGCGAAGGCUAAAUAAGAGACAAAUGCAAUGAUCUCAGAGCUCCAGGAGGAUCAAAGCCCUCUCACAGAAUUCCAGAUUCUUACAGGGCUAAAACCACAACCUUCUCUGGAUGGUCAUAUUUAUUUAGUUAAAAGAAGGGAGGGGAGUCCUCAAGAAGGGCAGAACCACUUAAGGACUUCUCUAAGUAAGGUAUUAAGUUAAUCCACCCAGCAGUGAGAUGCCUGAGGCUAUAGUCUUUAUCUAGUUCAGAUCGAACCCAGGUGUCUGUGGCUGUGAUCUUGUCUUAUCCCUUGAGGCUUUCAGGCUUCAUCUGCCAUUACAGACCUUAGUAGGGAUUAGUGACUCAUAGAGGUUCACUUACCAUAGUCCACCGCCCAUCUCCAGACAAGGAGCCUAGGCCUUGGACAGACUCACAAGUAAACAUGGAAAGUCAAUUGGUUAAUUUAAGUCCUUCUCAGGGCGGCUUCAUACUGGUCUCCAUCACAGCGGCCUACCAACAAGGAUACCAGGGUACCUACCCCUGGCAGGAGUUUUCUCUCAUGGCAGUUGAAGGACUUAGUUGGUCAUUUUUUGAGCCCAGAUCUUCAGGGCCCAGCUACUUCCUCUACAUUGGGAGGUUUCCUGUGGGUGCCACCCCAAGGCCUUGGCCUUUCUUCUAGGAGAGGACGGAGGCCAGGAGAAGGCGCUGGCUGGAUCCUGCUGAUGGAGGGUGGCAGAGAGGGUGAUGAAAGAGCCCUUUGGAGAGUGUGACAGUUUCUGGGGUAAGAGCAUAAACUGGACCUUGUUCUAGCCCUGCCUUUCCUGGGGAGGGGACUUGGAUCUGGGGGAGAACUCCUUUCCCCAGCCAGCGGAAGAGCAGGGUGUGUUGGAGAGGAGGAAGGGAGCUGCUUGAAUCUUAGUCAUGGCUGUUGUCCCACAUUCAGACGAGGUCUGGUUUCCAACACAACCAUGAAAACACAAAUGGGAUUUUAUUAUUAAAAAGGAAGAAGGAGCCAGGUGUGGUGGUGCACGCCUGUAAUACCAGCACUUGGGAGGCUAAGGCAGGAGGAUCGUUGUGAGUUCGAGACCAGCCUGGGCUACAAAGUGAGCUCAAGGCCGGCCUGAACUGCAUAGGGAGACCCUGUCUCAAAAAGACAAAAAAUAAAUAAAUAAAUAAAUAAAUAAAUAAAA
This 1714-nucleotide long non-coding RNA is filed under the name Chinchilla lanigera (long-tailed chinchilla). Its description in RNAcentral is "lncRNA (ENSCLAG00000028411.1)". The record is from RNAcentral. Lineage: Eukaryota; Metazoa; Chordata; Mammalia; Rodentia; Chinchillidae.